Passer domesticus (house sparrow) is the source of this 1245-nucleotide long non-coding RNA. RefSeq lists it as uncharacterized. The record is from RefSeq and is a predicted model, not a curated record. NCBI's taxonomy places the organism in Eukaryota, Metazoa, Chordata, Aves, Passeriformes, Passeridae. The transcript has 3 exons.
UGGGAGCUGCCUGUAUCCUGAGGCUGGAGGAGGGGGUCUGCAGCUACGUUCUGGCAUUUGCUGCUCUGAAUUUUGAUGAUUGUCUGGUGAAAAAUUGCAUGGGCCAUCCUGUGUCAAGACAAUCAUUGCUGUCUCCUCCUUUUAGUUAGCAAUUUGUCUUCAAGCUUACUACUUAGGCAGGAACUGUGUCAACACUGUGCAGAUGUGUUUUAACCCAGCAGAAUAUUUCAGUGAGCUUGAUGGCUUCCAAGAAUCUUGUGGCUGGAAUCUGUGAUGUUUCCCUUUGAAUUUUUCAGAUGAAGUUUUUUUCCUGAUUUUUGGAGAGGUGAAAUUGUGAUGGUAUCAUAAUGAACAAAUGAAUGAAUACAUAAAACUGUAAAAACAUCCCCUUGGGCAACAAAUUUGCUCAAUUUAAUGCUGGAAGAGAGGGUUAAGUGCUAUGUGACAGAAACUGUAUUAGCUGUUGCAAAAGGAGCUACUCAUUUUGAUCAACAGCGCAACGUUUGCCUUCGAAUCUCUAGUCCCAGUUGGAGCAGCAACCUUUCCCCUAUAAUUAAUUUUUGUGUGCUGUAGUCCAUUAGAGAAGAGAGUGACAGCCUCUGGACACAGAUUACUGUCUUAGGUAUGGCCCAAAGGAACAUUAUGGUCUUAAUUAAAGGUGGCUCAAUAUGUCAGCCAUUGCAAUAGUUUGAGCAUUUUUAAUACUGUGUCAGUAUCUAACCACCUUAAAAGAAUUCUGGUAGCAAGCAAACUAAGUAAUUUAAAGGCAGCUCAUGUUCUCUGUAAGUUUUGCAGGACUGCUAUUGGGAAUACUUGAUAAUUUAUGAAGGCUUACACCACCAAAUUAAUUACAUUUUCCUGAUGCCACAUGUCUUUUUCAUACAAGCUAGCUCUGAAUUAUAAGUAACAAUAUUGUCCUUGUUCAUUCCUUCAGUACAGGAGACAGCUUACUAAUUACACCAGUAGAAUUCAGUUGCUGUAUUUUAGAAGUGUCAUUUAUUAAACCUUGCUGCAGUUAAGGUGGUAUAUGCUUCUCUAAUAUUGACCCUGACUUCUGCUGUGUCUAUUACUGCAUCUCAGUUUCGUGCUUUUGGCAUGGGUUUCAUCUGGGAGCAUUUUUUGUAGCAUAGAAAAAUAAGUUCUGAGGAAAUGACAAAUGCAGAGACUUGCUGUGAUAUGCAGGAGGUACAACGCCAUGCACUCUGCUGUUUUGUGUGGGAAUGAGGUUAUACUUCAAGCCACUGU